CUUUUUCCUUGGUAGGUUUUUAUCCCGCUGGGUUUUUCCUAACAAGGUUUUAAUGAGGCCUUGUCUUGGGUGAUGCUCAUUGUCAUUCUGUGGGUUGGUGGUGGGUUUCUUUACUUCUCUGGUUGUUUUUUGGGCCAAUUUGUUUUUAGACAAAUCUUACACUUGUAUUGUUCUACCUUGAGUCAUUUCUGGCUCAGGUCUUUCUAUUAAUAAUAUCCAUUUUGCUUUC
This 229-nucleotide long non-coding RNA is filed under the name Lotus japonicus. RNAcentral's name for it is "long non-coding RNA (LJAP_LNC000220)". Lineage: Eukaryota; Viridiplantae; Streptophyta; Magnoliopsida; Fabales; Fabaceae. The record is from RNAcentral.